AUCUGUCCCAACUUCUAUAAAUAAGGGGGGAUCCUUCAGGACAAUAUGGAGCAGGUGUCUAACUUUUGGUGCCCUGGAGUGCCCUCAAGAAGUCAGUUGUGCUAAGGCUGGGCUCUGUGAACAUCCCCCAAAACCUGCACACCUGUGCACAACCACUAGGGCUGUUCAGCCGCCAGGGCAGGAGAAAGAUCACUGAGGUAGCUUCAGUUUAUGUUAACUGAAGCUUUCCGCAGUACAAAGCAAAGAAGCUAUAUUGCCUCUUCCAUGUAUGCCCCUUUCACAUGCAUUUUUUCUAUAAAAACAAACAAAAAAAGUGACAAAGUCUAACCAUAACUAUAAUUAUUAGGCAUUUGACUACAGCAGUAAUUAUUGCUGGCUAGCAGGACAUUACAAAGGUUCCAAAAUCAAUUGCAAAAUAAUUUAACUUUGCUUUAAAAGGAAAGCAGCUAUUCUCCUGCGAGUGCUUUGGUCUGAGGCCCCUACCAGCAUCCAGGGAUCCCAGACUUGCAAUUUGCCGAGGACAGCCCUUUACCCCAAUUUGAAUUAGAGGAUUUCAUAUGAAUCUGAUCUUAGGUAGCGACAACAAAAGAGCCCAUUGUAGCAGCCUGACAGCUAGGGAGAAACAGCCCCGAGCACAAAGGGUUACGUCUGGGCGGGGAAGGAGCAGGGGAGCGGAGGGGGGCAGCGGGGGUGAGUCAUAAAAAAGGGGCCUCCUGCUGCAGCCACAGAGCGAGGGCCCUGAACCAGGAGCAGAGUAAAUGUAGAACGGGAGGCCUACUGCGUUACAGGGCUUCCAGGCAUUCAUACUGGAGGAGUGGAGUGGAGGCUGCCAUCGUACAUAGCCAACGCUGGUAAAGAGGGCUGGGCUGCGUACUCAAGCUACUACGUGUAAGUGCAUCUGCUCACUCUGGUGCUGUGCCAUCAAUUUCUGCUAAGAAUCUGGUACCUGAAAGGAAAAGCUGCAGCUAUACACGCAGCCAGGCACUGCCUGUGCUCCAUCAUCCUUAGGGGACACUCACAGCACUGAGAGGCACCUCCCUCAGCCUACACCACCACGCUCCUCUGCUGAUCAGCACAAACCAAGGCCCCCGUUCCAGCCCUGAUCCUUAAACUCAAUUUUUGUCUAACCCCACUUGUAAUCCACCUCCGAUUUCCUCCAGAACAGAGAACUGGAUUUUAUGGGUGCUUCAUGAAGUGGACAAAUGUUGUUCUUGUAGAGGUAAAAGUCAGACAAAGAGCAGUUUGCUUAGGAUCCAAAAAGAUCAAUACGUGUGAAUCCAGACAGAUCUGACUGGCAUCCUGACAUCCUGCAUCAGGCAGAUAUAUAACAACUGGAAGCACAAAACAGAAGACAAUACUCUAUCUUGAGCUAGAAAUUGAUUUUUCUGGACUAGAGACAGACCCCAUCAUUACAGACUCAGCAAGAAUGUCAUUUGAUAACUUGAAGUAAGCAGGAAAUAUUUUUCCAUGGGUAAAAGAAUGUAUUCUCGAUACAACAGAAAACACAUGGUGCACACACUUGGAUGUGAAAUUCCACAAGUGAGACUGCAGAGUGCAGGAAUGCCCGAAGGUAAAUGAAAUGCCUCGACUGAUUCUUUUUGACAAUUCUUCUACAUCCUCUGCAGCUAAACCCUACAUCAUAAUAGAAAUAACUUAACUAGAGUAUAGAUAACUGGAGGCUAACAUGCACGGGAUGCUACAGCAGUUUAAAUCACUAUCACAUUCCUCAAGCUCUUUUUGACUAGUCACUUCAGUACCUAUGGAUUAGUUUUACUGUUUUCUCACUAUCUAACAAAUCAGUUACAACUCGGCACAAUCAACUCCAUCUCUUCAUUAAAAUGCUUUAAAUACUCAUUUAGAUUUCAAAUUAGUGUGCACUGCCAAUUUACGUAGUCCCAUUGAUCAAGAACCCAAUAUGCAAUUUAUUAAACAAGAGAUACUUGCUUUAGUAGUUAAGAAUUUUCUGUUCCUGCGUUCAUACGUAGCUUAUCAGGACUGGGUCCCUAAGCCAACACGUUGGUGACGCAGAUAUUUGGGACCUGACACAGCACCGAGUUGGCAAA
Molecule: non-coding RNA, 2063 nt
Organism: Anas platyrhynchos (mallard)
Lineage: Eukaryota; Metazoa; Chordata; Aves; Anseriformes; Anatidae
Source: RefSeq, a predicted model, not a curated record